UUUCCGUAGGUGAACCUGCGGAAGGAUCAUUCAUACUAAGUGUUUUAUGGCACUUUUUUAAAUCCAUAUCCACCUUGUGUGCAAUGUCAGGGUUGGUCUCUUUUGAUCAGCCCCAACCAUCAACUAUUAUCUCAACUCUUUGUCUGAAAAAUAUUAUAAAUAAAACAAUUCAAAAUACAACUUUCAACAACGGAUCUCUUGGCUCUC
RNAcentral lists this unclassified non-coding RNA (207 nucleotides) under plant metagenome. RNAcentral describes it as "partial contains small subunit ribosomal RNA, internal transcribed spacer 1, and 5.8S ribosomal RNA". The record is from RNAcentral.